UGUGAUAUAGCAAAGUGGUAGAGGGCUUGUUAGCAUGCAAAAUGCCCUGGGUUUGAUCCCCAGUAUCAUAA
Molecule: transfer RNA, 71 nt
Filed under: Marmota marmota marmota (Alpine marmot)
Lineage: Eukaryota; Metazoa; Chordata; Mammalia; Rodentia; Sciuridae
Also listed under: 1 other name
Rfam family: tRNA
About the family: Transfer RNA (tRNA) molecules are approximately 80 nucleotides in length. Their secondary structure includes four short double-helical elements and three loops (D, anti-codon, and T loops). Further hydrogen bonds mediate the characteristic L-shaped molecular structure. tRNAs have two regions of fundamental functional importance: the anti-codon, which is responsible for specific mRNA codon recognition, and the 3' end, to which the tRNAs corresponding amino acid is attached (by aminoacyl-tRNA synthetases). tRNAs cope with the degeneracy of the genetic code in two manners: having more than one tRNA (with a specific anti-codon) for a particular amino acid; and 'wobble' base-pairing, i.e. permitting non-standard base-pairing at the 3rd anti-codon position.
Source: Rfam by way of RNAcentral